GACGAACGCUGGCGGCGUGCCUAAUACAUGCAAGUAGAACGCUGAAGCUUGGUGCUUGCACCGAGCGGAUGAGUUGCGAACGGGUGAGUAACGCGUAGGUAACCUGCCUGGUAGCGGGGGAUAACUAUUGGAAACGAUAGCUAAUACCGCAUAAGAGUAGAUGUUGCAUGACAUUUGCUUAAAAGGUGCAAUUGCAUCACUACCAGAUGGACCUGCGUUGCAUUAGCUAGUUGGUGAGGUAACGGCUCACCAAGGCAACGAUACAUAGCCGACCUGAGAGGGUGAUCGGCCACACUGGGACUGAGACACGGCCCAGACUCCUACGGGAGGCAGCAGUAGGGAAUCUUCGGCAAUGGACGGAAGUCUGACCGAGCAACGCCGCGUGAGUGAAGAAGGUUUUCGGAUCGUAAAGCUCUGUUGUAAGAGAAGAACGAGUGUGAGAGUGGAAAGUUCACACUGUGACGGUAGCUUACCAGAAAGGGACGGCUAACUACGUG
Molecule: ribosomal RNA, 497 nt
Filed under: uncultured bacterium
Lineage: Bacteria
Description: partial 16S ribosomal RNA
Rfam family: Bacterial small subunit ribosomal RNA
Source: RNAcentral